UUCAACUUCCCAAGCCCUUACCUGGUUAAUGGCCUUCCCAGCUCUUUCCACCUGAGGGCUGCUGUCUUUUGGACCACUUUGCGUACUCCUUGCCUUUUCUAGGCAUUUCCGGCCGGCCUCUCCUCUGAACUGACCUCUCCUCUGAUGGCUGGUGGCACUGACCACCUGUGCUGCUCAUUUGGCCUUUAGCAUCCACUGUCCAGGCUGCUCUUCUAUGUCCACUUGUUAUUUCUCCAACUAGAUUGCCAGCUACCUGGGUUUCACCUAUCCCCUACCGUCCCAGUAAGGCCAAGCCACAACCUCGUGAGUAUAGCCAGGACUCCGUGAACACGGAUUCCUUGAAUUGGUCAGCUCCGUUGGAGCCAACAUCUCCUUUCCUGUGCCCUUUGUCACCUGUUCAGUUGGCUCAGAGAAUCCUUGCUGGGCCAGUCUCUCUGUCCCUAUUGCCUGGGACUCUGUUUCUAGAACAAUAAGAUGGAUUCCGUUCCUCUCCUAAGAGAGUGUUGAGUUCCGGAAUGGGGGUAACAGUUCUCUCUUGGCAGAGGAGGAUCCGCCCAGUCAGGCGGGCCAAGGGACCAUUGAUCUGAGUCCAGUGAGAAAGUGGCUUCUCAGGAGCCCUGGAUCCAGGCCCACUUCCAGACAACUUCUUCUUUCAACUCUCUUUCAUGUGUUUUAACUUCACAAAUAUGCCAGUUCCCAGCUGCUCCUGAGAGACAGCGGUGAUGGUGGUGGUGGGGAGACCACAGCAGGGACCCUGCUUCCUGUCUACGUAGCUGCUGGCUCUUCCCACACAGGGCUGGGCUUGGGCUGAGUUUUUGUACUUCCAUGGAGGCACAGCUAGAAGGGAAAGCGCCAUCGUGCCAGUAGCAUUUGGCUGAUGUUCAGGUGUGCAUCUCCCCAGCUCAGGAUGCUCCUCCCUCUUCACCUAGUUAACCCAGCUCAGCCUUCAGGUCUCAGCUUCAAGGUCAUGUCCCCAAAGAGGCUCUCCCUGACCUUAGUUCUAAAUAAGGGUUCCUUG
RNAcentral lists this long non-coding RNA (1018 nucleotides) under Equus caballus (horse). Its description in RNAcentral is "lncRNA (ENSECAG00000056767.1)". The record is from RNAcentral. Lineage: Eukaryota; Metazoa; Chordata; Mammalia; Perissodactyla; Equidae.